GCACUAUAAUGAAAAUGCUAACCGUGAGCAGGCAACAACAACUGAAGGACAGGCUGUGUAUAAGAUCGUUUUUCCAAAGUCCAAAAAAGGGGAAUGCACAGCAAAGCCAGUGAAAAUAGAACCAACAUACAACUAUGUCGAUGACCUUAUGAGCCUUCUGUUACAUAAAGUCUUUGUGGACCCCAAGCCAUAUGCGGAAGAGCUGCAUGCAAUCCCCAUUCCACCUCCUCUGUCAUCACAGUAUGAAAAACCUUCCAAAGAAGAGGUGAUUGCCCAGCGUGUGUCACGAUUCAGUCGAGGGGUGGCCGGAACCCAACAUACUGUCCCGCUGGAUCAGGAAACUGUAGACGGAUCCGGUUAACAACACAUGAGGGGAUGACAACCCUCACACUACGUCCUAGGUAGCCCCAGCACCAGCUGACAAAGCUGCGAUAGGCCAGAUAACGGAAACGCCUAUGGCAGGAAUAGAAAACCUCAAUAU
Molecule: long non-coding RNA, 481 nt
Organism: Carassius carassius (crucian carp)
Lineage: Eukaryota; Metazoa; Chordata; Actinopteri; Cypriniformes; Cyprinidae
Exons: 2
Source: RefSeq, a predicted model, not a curated record